CACGUAGGCGGCUUUGUAAGUUAGAGGUGAAAGCCCAGGGCUUAACCCUGGAAUUGCCUUUAAGACUGCAUCGCUAGAAUCGUGGAGAGGUAAGUGGAAUUCCGAGUGUAGAGGUGAAAUUCGUAGAUAUUCGGAAGAACACCAGUGGCGAAGGCGACUUACUGGACACGUAUUGACGCUGAGGUGCGAAAGCGUGGGGAGCAAACA
Molecule: ribosomal RNA, 207 nt
Filed under: uncultured bacterium
Lineage: Bacteria
Description: partial 16S ribosomal RNA
Rfam family: Bacterial small subunit ribosomal RNA
Source: RNAcentral